UGGGGAAUAUUGGACAAUGGGCGAAAGCCUGAUCCAGCCAUGCCGCGUGUGUGAAGAAGGUCUUCGGAUUGUAAAGCACUUUAAGUUGGGAGGAAGGGCAUUAACCUAAUACGUUAGUGUUUUGACGUUACCGACAGAAUAAGCGCCGGCUAACUCUGUGCCAGCAGCCGCGGUAAUACAGAGGGUGCAAGCGUUAAUCGGAAUUACUGGGCGUAAAGCGCGCGUAGGUGGUUUGUUAAGUUGGAUGUGAAAUCCCCGGGCUCAACCUGGGAACUGCAUUCAAAACUGACUGACUAGAGUAUGGUAGAGGGUGGUGGAAUUUCCUGUGUAGCGGUGAAAUGCGUAGAUAUAGGAAGGAACACCAGUGGCGAAGGCGACCACCUGGACUAAUACUGACACUGAGGUGCGAAAGCGUGGGGAGCAAACA
This 427-nucleotide ribosomal RNA is filed under the name uncultured bacterium. RNAcentral's name for it is "partial 16S ribosomal RNA". It matches the Rfam family "Bacterial small subunit ribosomal RNA", at positions 355 to 774 of the family's 1533-position model. The record is from RNAcentral.